Molecule: ribosomal RNA, 2098 nt
Filed under: bacterium
Lineage: Bacteria
Description: bacterial SSU rRNA
Rfam family: Bacterial small subunit ribosomal RNA
Source: RNAcentral
CUAAAUAAGAGUUUGAUCCUGGCUCAGGAUGAACGCUGGCGGCGUGCUUUAUACAUGCAAGUCGUGCGCUCGUGCCUCGCUAUCGCUCAGCACUCACUAAAUGUAAAGUUCAAAAAUCAAAGUGUAAAAUUUAUGUAUCGCUUCGCGAUUAUUAUGUAGUUGUCUCGAAGAGACUCAAUAAUUUUGCAUUUUAAUAUUUACAUUUUGAUUUUGAGUGCCGAACGGCAGUGAGGCACGGGAGCGGCAAACGGGUGAGUAAUACGUAGGAACGACCAAUAAGUUUGGGAUAACCCUCCGAAAGGAGAGCUAAUACCAAAUGUUUCCGCAAGGAAAAAGUGCAUCGCAAGAUGUACGCUUAUUGCUCGGCCUGCGGCCUAUCAGCUAGUUGGUGGGGUAAAGGCCUACCAAGGCGAUGACGGGUAGCUGGUCUGAGAGGAUGACCAGCCACAUGGGCACUGGGACACGGGCCCAACUCCUACGGGAGGCAGCAGUAGGGAAUAUUGGACAAUGGGCGAAAGCCUGAUCCAGCGACGCCGCGUGGAGGAUGAAGGCCUUCGGGUUGUAAACUCCUUUUCUCUGGGACGAAUUUCUGACGGUACCAGAGGAAUAAGAGGUUGCUGACUCUGUGCCAGCAGCAGCGGUAAUACAGAGACCUCAAGCGUUAUCCGGAAUCACUGGGCGUAAAGCGUUCCGAUAGGCGGACUAAAAAGUCUGAGGUUAAAUCCAGAGGCUCAACUUCUGGUGUACCUUGGAUACUGUUAGUCUAGAGGGGCAAAGAGGUGCUUGGAACGAACGGUGUAGCAGUGAAAUGCGUUGAUAUCGUUCGGAACACCAAUAGCGAAGGCAGAGCACUGGGUGCCACCUGACGCUGCUAGGACGAAAGCGUGGGGAGUGAAUGGGAUUAGAUAAAUCCCGGCCGCACUCGUAAAACAAUUGGCCGAAGGGUGUCCCUCCCGACAGCAAUGUCGGGAUGCGCACUUGGCUAUAUCGGUGAAAACCCAUAACAUUAUCAGGUUAUUACUGCCUGGUUAUGGACAAUACCGAGGGAAGUCAGUGCAUUUGCUUCGGCAAAUGCUAAAUGCAAAAAUCAAAUUGGAAAAUGUAAAAUUUAGGUGUUGCCUUCGGCAACUUCUAAAUAAAUCAUGAGCAUAAGCGAAUACAUACAUUUUGCAUUUUGAACUUUAAACUUUGAAUUUAGCGAGCAUUAGCUCGCGCUUGACCCCGUAGAGACUACACGCCGAGGCCGCCGAUGAGGCGACAUGAUAUAGUCCGAUCCUCACAGUAAUGUGAGCGUUUGCAAUAAUUUUUAAUUUUGCAUUGUCAUUUUGAUUUUUGACCUUUGCAUUUUGAAAUUUAUUGCGAAGCAAUAGUUGACCCCAGUAAUCCACGCUGUAAACGAUGAUGACUAGGCAUAGGAGAGUAUCGACCCUUUUCUGUGCCGAAGCUAACGCGUUAAGUCAUCCGCCUGGGGAGUACGGCCGCAAGGCUAAAACUCAAAGGAAUUGACGGGGAUCUGCACAAGCGGUGGAGCAUGUGGUUUAAUUCGACGAUAAGCGAGGAACCUUACCCAGACUUGACAUUGCACUGCAUACGUUGGAAACAACGUAGCCUUCGAGGGUGUGCAACAGGUGCUGCACGGUUGUCGUCAGCUCGUGUCGUGAGAUGUUGCCUUAAGUGGCAGAACGAGCGCAACCCUUGUCUCGUGUUACUAUGUCACGAGAGACUGCCAGGGUUUAACCUGGAGGAAGGUGGGGAUGACGUCAAAUCAGCGUGGCUCUUACGUCUGGGGCGACACACGUGCUACAAUGGGGUGCAACAAAGGGACGCCAAGUCGCAAGAUGGAGCAAAUCCCGUAAAACCACCCCUCAGUUCGGAUUGCGGGCUGCAACUCGCCCGCAUGAAGCUGGAAUCGCUAGUAACCGUGGAUCAGCCUCGCCACGGUGAAUACGUUCUCAGAUUUUGUACACACCGCCCGUCACACCAUGGAAGCGAGUAGUACCCAAAGCUUAUCGCAAGAUGAGUUAAGGUAAGACCCGUGACUGGGGUGAAGUCGUAACAAGGCAUCGGUAGCGGAAGCUGUCGAUGGAUCACCUCCUUU